AGCUGCUUUUUACCAGGCUAACAGCUAGCUAGAUGUCUGCUGGCUUUUCACCAAGAUUUCACUAUUUCAAUUUCUUCUCUUCAGGAUUUAUUAGGUGAUGAAUAUACAGCAAUCUAUGAAAGGGCUGAGCAGCAUCAAAAGAAGGGACGGGCUGCGCGGCUGGGAGCAGGGAUUACCGCGCUUCUCUGCCGCUCACUCACUGCUUACCACGGGCAACACCAGCACCGAGGAACUGCUGGAAACCCUGUGCUUGGUGAGAUGUGAAACUGAAGACGACUUGAACACAAGAAAAAGUCUGACACAUAAUGCGACAGAAUAAGACGUAAUGGGCACUGCAAUGACCAAGACCUUGGGACGCUUGGUAAGAAUAAAAGCAUGAAGAACAACACAGUGAAGAGAAAAAGAGGAACAUGCUGGCAUCCUUACUGACUUCCUGGUAAGAGAGAUUCAGCAGCAGCCAAGGGCAACAUCACAUCCCACAGGACUGCCGGAGUGGCCUGCCCCUCUGUGCUUUGCAUCAUGUAGGUGCUCAAAUGUUGCACAGAAUUAGAUCAUAUGAACAACUAACCAAACAGAUACCCACUGUCAAUUUACACAGAUGGAACAUAAAUACCAACACCUGCUCUCUUACUCUGGCAGCCAGAAAAAUGUCCCAGCUAAAGCCACGCUCACCACUCUUUCCAGAGCCCCCUACCAACUCUCCCUAUCCUUCCUCUUCAUGAUAGCUGAUGCCUACACUUCUGUAAUUAGUUUUAAAACAGCAGAGCAGUAGUGGAUUGCAGAGAGCACUUUACAGAAACUGCUGAAUUAAAAAAACGAACAACCCUUUCCACUUGAUAUAUUGUCAGGUAGAUGAAACACCAAAGUAGCACAGCAGCACUAGGAUGGCCCAAUGUGUUGGGACUGCUGUCUUCCAUUGAAGGUAUCUAGGUCCACAGUCGGGUUAGAACUGUUUUUCAGGCACAGACACUUAUUUCUGACCAGUAGUGUUCGCCAUAAACUGGAAUAUAUGUAACAAUCAUCCUCUGGCACCAGACACAUCAGAUUUUUGUUAUUCCCAGGCUUAGUUAAUGAGGAAAACCCCUUAAAUCCAAGUGAAAGAUCAGAGCAACAUUUGUUGUUCACUAUCACUAUUUACAUAGAAAGAAAUUAUGGGAUUUCCCAGCAAGAAAAACUAAAAUCUCCAGCUGAAACUAGUAUGAAAAUGGAGUCAGCUAUCUUUUCCAAGAACAUGAGGAUGCUUAAACCAUCCAAGGACCUUGGAAAUUUAUCAUCUGACUUCAACCUCAACCUUUCGGCACAAACUAAAAAGAAAAUCAAGACAGGCAACAAGAAACAAUUGCUUUCAUCACCUGAAUCCCAUUCUUUUUGAUCCAUAUGCUCUGUGGUUUUCAUUGCCUGAAAGCACCCAUUAUGAAAGAUCUACAAGGAGACAGAGACAACUGCAAUGUUACUGUUCUUCUAAAUGUUAGUCUUACAAAAAGAAGAAAGAAAAAUUAUGUCAGAGACAAAAAGGUUACCUAUUUCUUUGCAUGUCUAAGGCUCAGACAGAGAACUGCAUAAUGUUCCUAAAUUCAAGAAAGAAAACCAUUAAAAGUAAAAUACAUU
Melospiza melodia melodia is the source of this 1608-nucleotide long non-coding RNA. RefSeq lists it as uncharacterized. Lineage: Eukaryota; Metazoa; Chordata; Aves; Passeriformes; Passerellidae. The record is from RefSeq and is a predicted model, not a curated record. The transcript is spliced from 4 exons.